RNAcentral lists this ribosomal RNA (254 nucleotides) under uncultured bacterium. RNAcentral's name for it is "partial 16S ribosomal RNA". It matches the Rfam family "Bacterial small subunit ribosomal RNA", at positions 524 to 776 of the family's 1533-position model. The record is from RNAcentral.
UACGGGGGGCGCAAGCGUUGUUCGGAUUUACUGGGCGUAAAGGGCGCGUAGGCGGCCAGCACAAGUCAGUUGUGAAAUCUCCGAGCUUAACUCGGAACGGUCAACUGAUACUGUGCGGCUAGAGUGCGGAAGGGGCAACUGGAAUUCUUGGUGUAGCGGUGAAAUGCGUAGAUAUCAAGAGGAACACCUGCGGCGAAGGCGGGUUGCUGGGCCGACACUGACGCUGAGGCGCGAAAGCCAGGGGAGCGAACGGG